GUACUUAUAGUUUAACCAAAACAUUAGAUUG
RNAcentral lists this transfer RNA (31 nucleotides) under Hemiscyllium ocellatum (epaulette shark). RNAcentral's name for it is "partial tRNA-His". The record is from RNAcentral. Lineage: Eukaryota; Metazoa; Chordata; Chondrichthyes; Orectolobiformes; Hemiscylliidae. RNAcentral also lists the same sequence under 8 other names.